This is a long non-coding RNA of Phragmites australis (common reed), 1351 nucleotides long. RefSeq lists it as uncharacterized. The record is from RefSeq and is a predicted model, not a curated record. Lineage: Eukaryota; Viridiplantae; Streptophyta; Magnoliopsida; Poales; Poaceae. The transcript is spliced from 4 exons.
AGGCGUGGAAAGCCCAGAGAAUGGAGCACCGGCGCACCAGGACAUACGCAUGCGUAUCUGGUACAGUCGAGUCAGUAUCUGCUUUGGGCCGCUUUGCUUUGGCAUGUGGCAACUGGCAGUGGCGCCAAGGGCAAGGGCGAGCACGCACAGUCGCGCACUGUCUGUCCUUGCGCUCCUGGCAAGUCUCAUCCGUCCGUGGCAACUUGGCAGCGGCGGUGCCCCCCAGCGCCGGUAGGCCUGGCUGGGGUUGCUCCUUGUUAAUUGCAAAAGGCAGGCACACCAACCCACCCAUUUGGCAGGUCCCACCUCUCUCUGCUACUAUUGCUACCUUGUUCUACCUGAAGCGGGUGCCGGAUUCUUUGCAGCCAACAGUCAAGUUAGCCACGGUGGAGUUCACGUCAACCUGCCACCAAUUGGAAGGACAUGUCGCUCUUCCAUCGAACAAUACGUUGCGGUAUAAAAAACCGUGAUGGCCUCCGAGUUCGUUCAGUAAUUCAUUUUCACUGUUGGCUAGCACUAGCAGACAGAGAGGGAAAGGAGAAGAGAGGAGGGGAGAGGGGAGGGGAGAGAAAGGAAAGCGACAAAGCCCUGUCAUAAUCUAUCGUUGGUGCAGUAAAGGUAUACUUGAUCGCCGUUAAGGUGGCUGAGCUUCCGAUACUCCAAACUCGGGAUCCGGAUGAGUUCAUGUGGUUGCACGAGCGUUGGAUCCCUAGGGUGCACGAGGCAUGUCUUCUCCCUCUCUACAGACUUGUCAAGGCAGACACGGGGAUUAGGUGAGUAGAGUCUGCGUGGUGGUUCAGUUUUGACCAUGACCUACUCACUACACUGGUGGAUAGGUGGAGACCGAAGACACACAUGUUCUAUCUCCCUUGCAAGGAGAUGGCGCCUACACUUGAGGAUGUCUCACUCCUGCUUGGCCUACCCUACACGGGCAAAGCGGUGGGACCGAUAGACUUGGGUUCCUCCUAGAGUGACAACAUUUGAGCACGGUUUGGUGUAGUUGACCGGAGGGCCGCUGCCCCUGUACAGAACGUUACCCGGGUUCAAAAUUUAUGGACCUUCCAAGAAGUUUCUACUCAAGUUUGUGGCACUUUAUGUGUCAUCUGUUUCUUCAUGCGAUGAAUGUUCCACCUCUACGUACUCAAUAUUUUUUAUUUGCUAACUCAUAAUCAAAUUACAUCCACCCAGAGGUGGAUGAUGACACAAUUGCUAGGCACUUGAAGGCCUACUUAUUGUGGUAGUUCGGCUGGAUCAUGUUCACCACCACACAUGGCAAAUCAGUCUUGAAUAUCUUGAUCCUGUACACUCGGUAGAUAGCUGAUGCCAGAUUGGGAAAGGUCCCUAAGUAUAG